This 493-nucleotide ribosomal RNA is filed under the name uncultured bacterium. Its description in RNAcentral is "partial 16S ribosomal RNA". It matches the Rfam family "Bacterial small subunit ribosomal RNA", at positions 28 to 503 of the family's 1533-position model. The record is from RNAcentral.
GAUGAACGCUGGCGGCGUGCCUAAUACAUGCAAGUCGAGCGAACAGAUGAGGAGCUUGCUCCUCUGACGUUAGCGGCGGACGGGUGAGUAACACGUGGAUAACCUACCUAUAAGACUGGGAUAACUUCGGGAAACCGGAGCUAAUACCGGAUAAUAUAUUGAACCACAUGGUUCAAUAGUGAAAGACGGUUUUGCUGUCACUUAUAGAUGGAUCCGCGCCGCAUUAGCUAGUUGGUAAGGUAACGGCUUACCAAGGCAACGAUGCGUAGCCGACCUGAGAGGGUGAUCGGCCAAACUGGAACUGAGACACGGUCCAGACUCCUACGGGAGGCAGCAGUAGGGAAUCUUCCGCAAUGGGCGAAAGCCUGACGGAGCAACGCCGCGUGAGUGAUGAAGGUCUUCGGAUCGUAAAACUCUGUUAUUAGGGAAGAACAAAUGUGUAAGUAACUAUGCACGUCUUGACGGUACCUAAUCAGAAAGCCACGGCUAACUA